Molecule: long non-coding RNA, 1038 nt
Filed under: Anser cygnoides (Swan goose)
Lineage: Eukaryota; Metazoa; Chordata; Aves; Anseriformes; Anatidae
Description: lncRNA (ENSACDG00005012286.1)
Source: RNAcentral
AUGGGCGCCAAUGGGGCGAAGCAGGCGUCUCCUCGCCCGUCCCGUCCCAACGGGCGGCACCGUGCUGCCGGCGAGGCCGGGAGGAUUUUCCCCUCUCGGAGCAUCGGAGGGGAGAUCGGGCUCCUCCGGCACGACCCCAGCUCUCCAUCCAAGUUCCCGGCGGUGUUUCGGUGCCGCAGGAGGUGUCGGGACGGGUGGCGCAGGGCUCACCGCACGGCCCCAUCCGCACGGCACGGGUGGGACGGGGGCGUUGGGGACCCCCCCCCUUCCUCCAGCAGCAUCUCAGCCCCGGCUUUGCGUGCCCCCGGCGGGGCUCAGCCGCCCGUGACGCCGUGGCCUCGCGCCUCUGCCCGCACCCCGACAGCCGGGACGCCCGGCGGGCGCCUUUGUGCGCGGCGGGGCCUUCUCCGCGGGCCGGCCGCGUUGCAUAUGGAUUUUAUUAUCUCCCUCGCAUUUUUGUGGGGGGUUGUAAGAGGGAGGGUUUUUUCUUUUUUUUUUUCUCUUCUUUUUUUUUUUUUUCAUUCCCAUUGCAAAGUUUUUGGUUACAGUGGCUGCUCCUCCGCGGCGUCGCAGUUUGGGUUCUUUCCUUUUGUUCUCCAAAACGCCCAACGUGCGAGGGCCCCGCUGGGAUGGGACGGGGUCGUUGCGCCCGCUGCCACCCAUCGCGCUUGGGCAUCGCCCUCGCCGGAGAUGGGGCGGGCAUCGCCCCGAGGUCGGGGCCCGUGCCCGUGGGUUCCUACGGCAGUGCCAAAAACCAGAACGGGCGCCGAGCCGCUCGCCAGCGGUCACCCCGCUGCCUCCUGCCCCGUGCCUCGGCACCGUCCCGCAGCACCGGGCUGGGCACCGCGGGGAAGCGCUCUCCCGGACCGGGCGGCGGUGGUGAGCUACGGCUGCCGGUUCUGCUGCCGGUGGAGGAAAUGGUUUCAAGGGGGGACGGAAAAAAAAAAAAAUAGGGCGAAGGAAGUAGGAAUCGAUGCAAGGAGGGAGCAGACAAUGGCUCGUGGGUUUCAGCAGGCAGCGCCCGGGUCUGCGCCGUGA